RNAcentral lists this ribosomal RNA (436 nucleotides) under uncultured bacterium. Its description in RNAcentral is "bacterial SSU rRNA". It matches the Rfam family "Bacterial small subunit ribosomal RNA", at positions 28 to 480 of the family's 1533-position model. The record is from RNAcentral.
GACGAACGCUGGCGGCGUGCUUAACACAUGCAAGUCGAGCGAUGAAACUACUUCGGUGGUGGAUUAGCGGCGAACGGGUGAGGAACACGUGAGGAAUCUGCCUUCAACACUGGGAUAACUCCGGGAAACCGGGGCUAAUACCGGAUACGAGCCCUGAUCGCAUGAUCGGGGCUGGAAAGUUUUUCGGUUGAAGAUGACCUCGCGGCCUAUCAGCUUGUUGGUGAGGUAAUGGCUCACCAAGGCGACGACGGGUAGCCGGCCUGAGAGGGCGACCGGCCACACUGGGACUGAGACACGGCCCAGACUCCUACGGGAGGCAGCAGUGGGGAAUAUUGGGCAAUGGAGGAAACUCUGACACAGCGACGCCGCGUGCGGGAUGAAGGCCUUCGGGUUGUAANCCGCUUUCAGUAGGAANGAAGCGAAAGUGACGGUACCU